UACGGAGGGGACUAGCGUUGCUCGGAAUGACUGGGCGUAAAGGGUGCGUAGGCGGUUCUUUAAGUAAGGCGUGAAAGCCCUGGGCUUAACCCAGGAAGUGCGUUUUAAACUGAAGAGCUAGAGUGUGAGAGAGGAAAGUGGAAUUCCUAGUGUAGAGGUGAAAUUCGCAGAUAUUAGGAAGAACACCAGAGGCGAAAGCGGCUUUCUGGCUCACAACUGACGCUGAGGCACGAAAGCGUGGGGAGCAAACAGG
This 253-nucleotide ribosomal RNA is filed under the name uncultured bacterium. RNAcentral describes it as "partial 16S ribosomal RNA". It matches the Rfam family "Bacterial small subunit ribosomal RNA", at positions 524 to 776 of the family's 1533-position model. The record is from RNAcentral.